AAGGUUCGCUUAGCCGCGAUUAAUUGGGAACGUGAGUGAGAAUCUCCGACUGUCCCGCAGCAGUGAACUCCGUUUUUACAGUCAAACCAAUACCAUUGUCCCCGCAGGGGGAUGAGAAGGGGUUUGGGAUGUGGAGUCAAGUCUGAAGACCAGCCUUAGU
This 160-nucleotide non-coding RNA is filed under the name bovine gut metagenome. The record is from RNAcentral.